This 527-nucleotide unclassified non-coding RNA is filed under the name Hevea brasiliensis (rubber tree). The record is from RNAcentral. Lineage: Eukaryota; Viridiplantae; Streptophyta; Magnoliopsida; Malpighiales; Euphorbiaceae.
GGUCAAUUAGUGACCAUUUGGUAAUGUUUGACCACAAAUUGAAGUGAAUUGUGGCAUUAAGACUUGAUUUAGUAUGCUGCCCCUAAUGUGCCAGAAUUAAUGGACUUUAGUCCAGUGUAGUUAGGCUGCAAUAACUUGAUGUGUGUAACUUCAAUUGGAAGUGAAAUUAGACAUAUAAUAACACAACUUUGAUGUAGAAACUCUGUCCAGAAAACCAACUUAAGAUGACCUAAAAAUUGAUCAAAUCCGGAUAAUCAAUUCUGGACCUGGUAAAAGUAACCAAAUGAAUUUGUUCGUUUGGCCAUAACAUUAUGUAGAAAUGUCCAAUUGACCUGAUUUUUAUAUCAAUGGAAAGCUUAGACAAUUUAAAACAACUUCCAUGAGGAAUAUAAACCCAAAUUUUGAUCAUAACCUAAUGAAAUUGUCCAUCAAAGUCAGGAUACAAAACUGCCAGAACCAUUUUCUACCCAGAAAUUCUAAGUAAUGGCCAAUCCAGCCAGCCAUGGGAAAAAUGACAUAACUUGAAU